This 277-nucleotide small RNA is filed under the name Microcebus murinus (gray mouse lemur). RNAcentral's name for it is "Metazoan signal recognition particle RNA (ENSMICG00000033187.2)". Lineage: Eukaryota; Metazoa; Chordata; Mammalia; Primates; Cheirogaleidae. The record is from RNAcentral.
GCCAGGCAUGGUGGCUCAUGCCUGUAAUCCCAGCACUUGGGAGGCUGAGGCAGGAGGAUUGCUUGAGGCCAGGAGCUCAAGACCAGCCUAGGCAACAGAGAGAGACCUGUCUUUCUAAAAUAUUUUUAAAAAUUAGUGCACAUGAUGGCAUACAUCUGUAAUCCUUGGCUACUUGGAAAGCUGAGCAGGAAGAUCAAGCCAAAGAGUUUGAGGUUGCAGUGAGCUACGACUGCGUUACUGCACUCUAGCCUGGGCGACAGAGUGAGAACUUGUCUCU